CUGCCAAUAGGUUAGAAAGACAACAGACUUAAUGAUCACAAACUUUGGGACUGGAUUGAAUGGCUGAAGGAGAUCUCUGCAGGCCAUGUAGAACAGCACAAGUGCGUACAAAGCAACUGUGUAGGAUAUGGUGUAGAUGAUGGUAAGGUAGAGAUAUGCUUGAUCAGGGUUGAAGUUUCCAUCCUUGUACUUCCCUUUUGCGUAAAGCACAAGUGUGACAGCCACUAGGAUAGGCUUUAGGAUUACAAAUUGUAGACAGCCUUGCUUGCACCGUCGAAUAAAACGCCUGCAAAGAAAAAGACCAUGGCGCAUAAGAAAACAGCAUGAGACAGAGACAUCCAAACAGACUGUUUAAUGUUUGUGUAAGCUAAUGGUUGUCUUUAAGGACAACACUCAUAAUGGCUAUUAACGUGACUAUGUAACCACUGCUCAAUCUUGAUGAGUAGAAAGAACUUAACUACUUACCCAUCCAAUGUUAAUGGCGGAAAGCAACAAGUCAUGAGACACCAUGAUGGUUUAAGAGAGCGACCGCUCAAACUAAGCACGACAGCUCCUGGACCUCCAACCCACGCCAAACACAGAGAUAAGAAGUUGUAAAUGACCCAUGCCUCAUAACUGAAAAACACCAAAAGUUAGCCAUUAGAGUCAAACUUAACAUGGGUUACAGAGUUGGUUGAGUACUUAGGAGUACUCACACUUCACGUAUGGAAUCAAAAUAGAUGGAGCUUGUAGGUAGCACAAGAGACAAGAAUGACAUGAAGGCAUAAACCUGGCAAGAGAAAACAAUCAAGAACAACAUGUCAGCGAGAGUAAAACAAUGUCAAGAGGUAAUAGAGAUGGGUGAGAAGACUAACCGGGACCAUGAAGAUGAUCCGAACGAUGUAUCUCUGAUAAGUAGGCUCCGUGUAAUUGAGAAGCACACAUAUUAUGAAAUUUUGAAAAUGAGCCGCUUCCUCUGCGGUCUGUAUGAAUCCAGACUUUGCAGCAAGAAAGACAAGAACACCCUGUUCAAAGGAAGAGAGUCAUAUAACACAAAAGUCAAGAGUUGAUGUCUAAUACUACAAAGUUAGAACGCAAAUUUUUACCUGCCAAUAGGUUAGAAAGACAACAGACUUAAUGAUCACAAACUUUGGGACUGGAUUGAAUGGCUGAAGGAGAUCUCUGCAGGCCAUGUAGAACAGCACAAGUGCGUACAAAGCAACUGUGUAGGAUAUGGUGUAGAUGAUGGUAAGGUAGAGAUAUGCUUGAUCAGGGUUGAAGUUUCCAUCCUUGUACUUCCCUUUUGCGUAAAGCACAAGUGUGACAGCCACUAGGAUAGGCUUUAGGAUUACAAAUUGUAGACAGCCUUGCUUGCACCGUCGAAUAAAACGCCUGCAAAGAAAAAGACCAUGGCGCAUAAGAAAACAGCAUGAGACAGAGACAUCCAAACAGACUGUUUAAUGUUUGUGUAAGCUAAUGGUUGUCUUUAAGGACAACACUCAUAAUGGCUAUUAACG
This 1496-nucleotide long non-coding RNA is filed under the name Brassica napus (rape). Its description in RNAcentral is "long non-coding RNA (BNAP_LNC020597)". Lineage: Eukaryota; Viridiplantae; Streptophyta; Magnoliopsida; Brassicales; Brassicaceae. The record is from RNAcentral.